Gallus gallus (chicken) is the source of this 1033-nucleotide long non-coding RNA. The record is from Ensembl. NCBI's taxonomy places the organism in Eukaryota, Metazoa, Chordata, Aves, Galliformes, Phasianidae.
GAGAAUUUCAAUCGCAGACAGUCUAAGUCUGUGAUGUUAGUACCUUCCAGCUUUAAUCUUUUUUAUAAAAUAGAACACUGCUAGAGGGAAGCCAAAGGUACUCAAGGAAUAACAGCUGCUGGGAAGCCAGGCUACUUUCUGGAAGCAUGGAAAACUGACAGAAACAUAAGGAGCAAGACUUUGAAGCUGGCAUUUUAACCCCAGGAUUGUACUUACCUUUUGAAAAGCUGCGUCUGGCAUUCAAGAUUUAUCUCUGUUCCAAGCAGUACAUGUAACAACCUAAAAUAAGGAAUGUUCAUCACAAUACCAUAUUGAAAAUUAUUUAUGGAGUUACAGUCAGAAAAGGUAAGUUUUUCCUCCGCACAGUGUAAAGGACACUCCUAAUGACCUCCAAUACUCAUGUAGUUUAUGUAUUCUGAAGUACAUUUCUACCACUUUUGAAAAAUGCUGUAAGAAAUUCAAAGACCUCAGUACAACGUAGGGUGUGUAUGUUAUCCUGGUGGACAACAAGAUUAUCAUGAAUUAACAGUGCGCCACUGAAGCAACAAAGGCCAAUCAGAUCCUGAAUUACAUCUGUAGGGGCACUGCUAGAAGAUACAGAGAUGUGAUCAUCCUACUCAGUGCUUGUUAGGUCACAGCUGGAGUACUGUGUCCCCACAGUUCAAAAGAGACAUAGAGAGUCUGGAAACAAUCCAAAGGAUGGCCUCAAAGAUGAUCAAAAGCUGAAGAACAUGCCAUGUGAGGAAAGGCUGAAGGAGUUAUGUAUUUCUGCCCUUGAAGAGAAGUCUCAGAGUCUUUUACAUUGUAACAGUAUUCCAGUACUUGAAGGGCAACUGCAAAGAGGAUGGAAGCUCUCUUUUCAAAAGGAGCUGCACAGAGAGGACAAGGGUGAAGAGAACAGAUUGCACUGGGAGAGGUUUCAUCUGGUUAUCAUCAAUCACUGGAACAACCUCCUCAGGGUUGUGCUAGAGAUUUUCAACUCGCCGUGGCACUAGAUAAUCUAACAUAGCCACCCUUUUCUAAAGCAGAUUGG